RNAcentral lists this ribosomal RNA (253 nucleotides) under uncultured bacterium. RNAcentral's name for it is "partial 16S ribosomal RNA". It matches the Rfam family "Bacterial small subunit ribosomal RNA", at positions 524 to 776 of the family's 1533-position model. The record is from RNAcentral.
UACGUAGGGGGCAAGCGUUAUCCGGAUUUACUGGGUGUAAAGGGAGCGUAGACGGCAGUGCAAGUCUGGAGUGAAAGGCGGGGGCUCAACCCCCGGACUGCUCUGGAAACUGUACGGCUGGAGUGCAGGAGAGGUAAGCGGAAUUCCUAGUGUAGCGGUGAAAUGCGUAGAUAUUAGGAGGAACACCAGUGGCGAAGGCGGCUUACUGGACUGUAACUGACGUUGAGGCUCGAAAGCGUGGGGAGCAAACAGG